AGACAUUUGCAGCCUUCUGAAGUGGUCUGGUGCUGCUCUGUAUGGGCUGAAGCCUUCUGGAAUUGUGUGGUGACACUCUGGGUAUCGUGGCCAUCUCAACUGUGACCUAUGCUGUGAUACCUUCCCAGCAGGGAUUUCCCCAGAAGAUUUGGAUCCCACUCCUGCCAUUGUCCUGAUUUCUUGAUGAGUUUCCAAGGAACAUUUUUAAUGUCUUGGGCUCCGUGAAUUCCCUGGGCCAGUACCAAAGGCUGAGACGUAUGCACUUGGUCAUGACAUUCACCUGGGAUUUGCUGAAGCCAAAAUUAAAUCAGAUAAAGCUCCAGGUUGAAUCUGGGUCUCUUGUGUUUCAGAUUCAGUGCAACAAUUGAAACCUGCGUUUGGCUACCGCUGCUGCAUCUUUAAAGCGAAAUCGCAAAUUUGAAGUGAAAUCCACAGCGUGGAAAUGCUGAGUAAAAACCACCCAAGCCCUAGUUUUUGAUGGAUCACCUAAGCUUGACAGCCUGGCCCUUUGUGGAGCUCAGAUUCCCUUCCUCCCAUGCAGGAGUGCUGCGUGUUUCCAUUUGAGUGCAGAGUUUUGCCGUCAGGAGUGCUGACUCACGGGACAAGGAGGAAGGAACAUUUCUGGCCAAAAGUGGUGUGGAUUUGCCCUGCUGUGACUUCCCAUGCCCUGUGCCCCAUGUCCUGUCCCCAGGCACCCUCACCUGCUGCUGGAGAGGAGCCCAGGGCAGUUGGACACAUCCCACAGCUGCUGUGCUCCACGCUUGAAUCCACCUGCAGCGUUUCACCUCUCCUGCCUCUUGGGCACCAAAAGUUUAUCCCACAUCAGGCCAGGGUGCCUUGAAGGACCAGGUGAGCUAGGAGAGCAGUUGCCCCAGCCAUCCACAACCAGCUGGAAGGCUAGGUGGUUGAGUUAAGCAGGUAAAUCCCCUGGGCUCCCAUCGGGAAUGGGGGCAGAUGCAGUCCAGAGGACAAUUCCUGAACUGGUCGGUGAAUUCCUGGAUAGGUAAGUACCUUAGGUAAUGUAAUAAAUGAGAUCUCUCAGCAGCCUGUCUCUCACAGUAAAAAAGAGAGAGUUCUGCCUGUGGCUGUCUGUAAGAUAACCAUGUUCUUUGAACUUUCCUGUUAUUUACAUACAAUACACUUUUCUUUGUCCUUUUGCGCUGCAACUUAACAGAACCAGCUGAAGUACCCAUCCAGAAAAGCAGCUGUCGAAAUUGCCCGUCCUCUUUCAGAAGCAGCUAAAAGCAGUACCUAAACCUGUAGUAGCAUGCGAUUUCUCUGAGGAGGAGAUGGAAAAACCCCAAUUUUGAGGCUCUGGGAGCCCGGCCGGGCUUUUGUUCUCCCCAGGGCGCAGCAGCGCUGCUCCUGAACCAGCCGCGUUUCCCCGACAGAUGGCACUGCCUUUCUCUCCUACUUCGCCCAAAGUUUAAAAACAUUUCGUUAAAAAUAGCUGCCCCACAUUCUUAAUUGGCAAUCCUCUUUCUGUUUAUUGUUAGGCACAAAUCAAACGCUGUUUAGCUCUUGGGCGAGCUGGAUGCACAAUACAUAAAACCAUAAUGUGAGACACGCAGAUUUUCUUAUUCUGUUCUGUAUCUGCUUGCUACAGCAGAAAAUACUGAACAAUUUGUGGUUUGUCACUAAUUUAGUUCUGAUAAAAUGUUAUUUUUUCCGUCAUGAAGAUAGAA
Zonotrichia leucophrys gambelii is the source of this 1685-nucleotide long non-coding RNA. RefSeq lists it as uncharacterized. The record is from RefSeq and is a predicted model, not a curated record. Lineage: Eukaryota; Metazoa; Chordata; Aves; Passeriformes; Passerellidae. The transcript is spliced from 3 exons.